Molecule: long non-coding RNA, 361 nt
Filed under: Panax ginseng (ginseng)
Lineage: Eukaryota; Viridiplantae; Streptophyta; Magnoliopsida; Apiales; Araliaceae
Description: long non-coding RNA (PGIN_LNC009801)
Source: RNAcentral
AAAUACUAAAAUUCAAAUUAUUUUGUUAAUUAAUCAAAAGAAUAAAAAUUCAAAUUACAUCAUUAAAAUACUAAAAUCAUAACAUAUUUACAUCAUAACAUAACAUAUUAUCAUAUUUACAUAUUUACAUCAUUUACAUCAUAUUUACAUCAUAACAUAUUUACAUCAUUUAAUCAAAAUACUAAAAUUCAAAUACUAAAAUACUAAAAUUUUACUCAAAUACUAAAAUUUUACCAUAGUUGUAUAACAUAUCAAAAUACUAAAAUUUUAUCAUAGUUGUAUAACAUAUCAAAAUACUAAAAGUCACUUACCCGACACUAAAAUACUAAUUACAUAUUUACAUCAAAUACUAAAAAUACUA